RNAcentral lists this ribosomal RNA (394 nucleotides) under uncultured bacterium. RNAcentral's name for it is "bacterial SSU rRNA". It matches the Rfam family "Bacterial small subunit ribosomal RNA", at positions 524 to 916 of the family's 1533-position model. The record is from RNAcentral.
UACGUAGGGUGCAAGCGUUAAUCGGAAUUAUUGGGCGUAAAGGGUGCGCAGGCGGAUGUAUAAGUCAGAUGUGAAAUCCCCGGGCUUAACCUGGGAAUUGCGUUUGAAACUAUAUGACUAGAGUGUGAUAGAGGGGAGUGGAAUUCCAUGUGUAGCAGUGAAAUGCGUAGAGAUGUGGAAGAACACCGAUGGCGAAGGCAGCUCCCUGGAUUAACACUGACGCUCAUGCACGAAAGCGUGGGGAGCAAACAGGAUUAGAUACCCUGGUAGUCCACGCCCUAAACGAUGUCAACUAGUUGUCGGAUCUGUUAAAAGAUUUGGUAACGUAGCUAACGCGUGAAGUUGACCGCCUGGGAAGUACGGUCGCAAGAUUAAAACUUAAAUGAAUUGACGG